AGCUCCAAUAGCGUAUAUUAAAGUUGUUGCGGAUAAAACGCUCAUAUUCCGAGUUUGUGGGGGAUAUUGGGGGUAUCUGAAAGGAUGUUUCCAGUGUGCUUCAUGUUUGAUGGUAGCAAUACUAUCGAUUACUUUGAGGAAAAUAGGGUGUUCAAAGCGGGCGAGAGCUUGAAUACUGCAGCAUGGAAUAAUGGAAUAGGACUUGCCGUCUUAUUUUGUUGGUUUGGAGGGGCGAGUAAUGAUUAAUAGGGGCAGUUGGGGGCAUUGGUAUUUGGUAGCUAGAGGUGAAAUUCUUGGAUUUACCAAAGACUAACUAGUGCGAAAGCAUUUGCCAAGGAUGUUUUCA
Molecule: ribosomal RNA, 346 nt
Filed under: uncultured eukaryote
Lineage: Eukaryota
Description: SSU rRNA
Rfam family: Eukaryotic small subunit ribosomal RNA
Source: RNAcentral